Molecule: ribosomal RNA, 656 nt
Filed under: Hepatozoon canis
Lineage: Eukaryota; Apicomplexa; Hepatozoidae
Description: bacterial SSU rRNA
Rfam family: Eukaryotic small subunit ribosomal RNA
Source: RNAcentral
AAAAUCUCAACUUUAUUAGAAGAGACGCAUUUAUUAGAUAAAAAGCCAGUUCAUGCUUUUAUAGUAUGAAAAUUGGUGAUUUAUAAUAACUUAGCAAAUCGCAAAGUGAAAACAGGCGAUAAAUCAUUCAAGUUUCUGACCUAUCAGCUUUCGACGGUAUGGUAUUGGCUUACCGUGGCAGUGACGGUUAACGGGGGAUUAGGGUUCGAUUCCGGAGAGGGAGCCUGAGAAACGGCUACCACAUCUAAGGAAUGCAGCAGGCGCGCAAAUUACCCAAUUCUAACAGUUUGAGAGAGGUAGUAACAAGAAAUAACAAUACAAGGCAGUUAAGAUGCUUUGUAAUUGGAAUGAUAGAAAUUUAAACCCUUUUUAAAGUAUCAAUUGGAGGGCAAGUCUGGUGCCAGCAGCCGCGGUAAUUCCAGCUCCAAUAGCGUAUAUUAAAAUUGUUGCAGUUAAAAAGCUCGUAGUUGAAGUUCUGCUGAAAGUAACCGGUCUGCUUUUAAUAAAAGUGGUAUCUUGGUAUGUAUUUAGCAAUGAUGUCCUUUGAAGUGUUUUUUACUUUAUUGUAAUAAAGCAUAUUCAGGACUUUUACUUUGAGAAAAUUAGAGUGUUUCCAGCAGGCUAACGCUUUGAAUACUGCAGCAUGGAAUAAUAAG